Molecule: ribosomal RNA, 1465 nt
Filed under: metagenome
Description: bacterial LSU rRNA
Rfam family: Bacterial large subunit ribosomal RNA
Source: RNAcentral
GAGAAGGUUAACUCAGCCGGGUGUUGGAUGUCCCGGUUCGAGCGUGUAGACGUGCUGUUUAGGCAAAUCCGGACGGCUUAGUUGAGACGUGAUAACGCAACACUCCUCGGAGUGCCAAGUGAGCGAUACCAUGCUUCCAGGAAAAGCCACUAAGCUUCAGUUGAAUGAAGACCGUACCGUAAACCGACACAGGUGGGUAGGAUGAGAGUUCUAAGGCGCUUGAGAGAACUCAGGAGAAGGAACUCGGCAAAAUAGCACCGUAACUUCGGGAAAAGGUGUGCCCUUUGUAUGUGUAGCGCCUCGCGCGUGAAGCAGAAUAGGGUUGCAAUGAAAUGGUGGCUGCGACUGUUUAAUAAAAACAUAGCACUCUGCAAACACGAAAGUGGACGUAUAGAGUGUGACGCCUGCCCGGUGCCGGAAGGUUAAAUGAUGGGGUGCAAGCUCUUGAUUGAAGCCCCGGUAAACGGCGGCCGUAACAAUAACGGUCCUAAGGUAGCGAAAUUCCUUGUCGGGUAAGUUCCGACCUGCACGAAUGGCGUAACGAUGGCCACACUGUCUCCUCCUGGGACUCAGCGAAGUUGAAAUGUUUGUGAAGAUGCAAUCUCCCCGCGGCUAGACGGAAAGACCCCGUGCACCUUUACUGUAGCUUUACAUUGGACUUUGAUAACAUCUGUGUAGGAUAGGUGGGAGGCUUUGAAGUGGACUCGCUAGAGUUCAUGGAGCCAUCGUUGAAAUACCACCCUGAUGUUGUUGGGGUUCUAACCUAGAUCCAUUAUCUGGAUUGGGGACCGUGUAUGGUAGGCAGUUUGACUGGGGCGGUCUCCUCCCAAAUUGUAACGGAGGAGUACGAAGGUACGCUAGGUACGGUCGGAAAUCGUGCUGAUAGUGCAAUGGCAAAAGCGUGCUUGACUGCGAGACUGACAAGUCGAGCAGAUGCGAAAGCAGGUCAUAGUGAUCCGGUGGUUCUGUAUGGAAGGGCCAUCGCUCAACGGAUAAAAGGUACGCCGGGGAUAACAGGCUGAUUCCUCCCAAGAGUUCAUAUCGACGGGGGAGUUUGGCACCUCGAUGUCGGCUCUUCACAUCCUGGGGCUGUAGCCGGUCCCAAGGGUAUGGCUGUUCGCCAUUUAAAGUGGUACGUGAGCUGGGUUUAAAACGUCGUAGACAGUUUGGUCCCUAUCUGCCGUGGGCGUUGGAAGUUUGAGUGGACCUGCUCCUAGUACGAGAGGACCGGAGUGGACGCACCUCUGGUGUACCGGUUAUGACGCCAGUCGUAUCGCCGGGUAGCUAAGUGCGGAAGAGAUAACCGCUGAAAGCAUCUAAGCGGGAAACUCUCCUCAAGAUGAGACUUCCCGAGGGUUUAACCCUCCUAAAGGUUCGUCGAAGACUACGACGUUGAUAGGUCGGGUGUGGAAGCAUAGUAAUAUGUUAAGCUAACCGAUACUAAUUGACCGUGAGGCUUGAUCCU